Molecule: ribosomal RNA, 484 nt
Filed under: uncultured bacterium
Lineage: Bacteria
Description: partial 16S ribosomal RNA
Rfam family: Bacterial small subunit ribosomal RNA
Source: RNAcentral
AUUGAACGCUGGCGGCAGGCCUAACACAUGCAAGUCGAGCGGAUGAAGGGAGCUUGCUCCUGGAUUCAGCGGCGGACGGGUGAGUAAUGCCUAGGAAUCUGCCUGGUAGUGGGGGAUAACGUCCGGAAACGGGCGCUAAUACCGCAUACGUCCUGAGGGAGAAAGUGGGGGAUCUUCGGACCUCACGCUAUCAGAUGAGCCUAGGUCGGAUUAGCUAGUUGGUGGGGUAAAGGCCUACCAAGGCGACGAUCCGUAACUGGUCUGAGAGGAUGAUCAGUCACACUGGAACUGAGACACGGUCCAGACUCCUACGGGAGGCAGCAGUGGGGAAUAUUGGACAAUGGGCGGAAGCCUGAUCCAGCCAUGCCGCGUGUGUGAAGAAGGUCUUCGGAUUGUAAAGCUCUUUAAGUUGGGAGGAAGGGCAGUAAGUUAAUACCUUGCUGUUUUGACGUUACCAACAGAAUAAGCACCGGCUAACUUCGUG